UCAAUCAAUGUUGAUGCCAGACUUUUGC
RNAcentral lists this small RNA (28 nucleotides) under Bombyx mori (domestic silkworm). Its description in RNAcentral is "ovarian small RNA-24826". The record is from RNAcentral. Lineage: Eukaryota; Metazoa; Arthropoda; Insecta; Lepidoptera; Bombycidae.